This 466-nucleotide ribosomal RNA is filed under the name uncultured bacterium. RNAcentral describes it as "partial 16S ribosomal RNA". It matches the Rfam family "Bacterial small subunit ribosomal RNA", at positions 339 to 795 of the family's 1533-position model. The record is from RNAcentral.
CUACGGGAGGCACCAGUGGGGAAUAUUGGACAAUGGGGGAAACCCUGAUCCAGCAAUGCCGCGUGUGUGAAGAAGGCCUGCGGGUUGUAAAGCACUUUCGGUUGGGAGGACUGCUUCUAGCACUAAUAUUGUUGGAAGUUGACGUUACCUUCAGAAGAAGCACCGGCUACCUCCGUGCCAGCAGGCCGCGGUAAUACGGAGGGUGCAAGCGUUAAUCGGAAUUACUGGGCGUAAAGCGCGCGUAGGCGGCUAGAUCAGUCGGGUGUGAAAGCCCCGGGCUUAACCUGGGAACUGCAUCCGAUACUGUCUAGCUUGAGUACAGGAGUGGAGAGUGGAAUUCCACAUGUAGCGGUGAAAUGCGUAGAUAUGUGGAGGAACACCAAUGGCGAAGGCAGCUCUCUGGCCUGAUACUGACGCUGAGGUGCGAAAGCGUGGGGAGCAAACAGGAUUAGAUACCCCCGUAGUC